RNAcentral lists this ribosomal RNA (253 nucleotides) under uncultured bacterium. RNAcentral describes it as "partial 16S ribosomal RNA". It matches the Rfam family "Bacterial small subunit ribosomal RNA", at positions 524 to 776 of the family's 1533-position model. The record is from RNAcentral.
CACGUAGGGCGCAAGCGUUGUCCGGAUUUAUUGGGCGUAAAGAGCGUGUAGGCGGCCAGACAGGUCCGUUGUGAAAACUGGAGGCUCAACCUCCAGACGUCGAUGGAAACCGUCUGGCUAGAGUCCGGAAGAGGAGAGUGGAAUUCCUGGUGUAGCGGUGAAAUGCGCAGAUAUCAGGAAGAACACCCGUGGCGAAAGCGGCUCUCUGGGACGGUACUGACGCUGAGACGCGAAAGCGUGGGGAGCGAACAGG